CCUGGUUGAUCCCACCAGUAGUCAUAUGCUUGUCUCAAAGAUUAAGACAUGCAUGUGUAAGUAUGAAUAAAUUCAGACUGUGAAAUAGCGAAUUGCUCAUUAAAUUAGUGAUAGUUUGUUUGAUGGUAUCUACUACUUGGAUAACCGUAGUAAUUCUUGAGCUAAUACAUGCAACAAACCCAGACUUCUGGAAGGGAUGCAUUUAUUAGAUAAAAGGUCGAUGAGGGCUCAGCCCGUUGCUGUGAUGAUUCAUGAUAACUUGAUAGAUCACACGACCAUUGUACCAGCGACACAUCAUUUAAAUUUUUGUCCUAUAAAGUUUUGAUGAUAGGAUAGUGGCCUACAAUAGUGGUAAUGGGUGAAGGAUAAUUAGGGUUCGAUUUUCGAGAGCGAACCUGAGAAACGGCUACCACAUCUAAGGAAGGUAGCAGGCACGCAAACUACCCAAUCAUGACACGGGGAUGUAGUGACAAUAAAUAACAAUACCGAGCUUAAUGAGUCUGGUAAUUAGAAUGAGUACAAUCUAAAUCCCUUAACGAGGAUCCUUUGGUGGGAGAUUCUGGUGCCAGCAACCGCGGUAAUUCCAGCACCAAUAAUGUAUAUUUAAGCUGUUAUAAUUAAAAAGCUCAAAGUGAGACUUUGGGAUUGGCCGGCCAGUCCGCCUAUGGUGUGCAUUGGUCGUCUCGUCCCUUCUGUCGGUGAUGCACUCCGGCCUUAACUGGUCGGUCCGUGCCUCCGACGCUGUUACUUUGAAGAAAUUAGAGUACUUAAAGAAAGCCUACGCUCUGUAUACAUUAGCAUGGGAUAAUGAUAAACAGGGACAGUCGGGGGCAUUUGUAUUUUAUAGUCAGAGGUAAAAUUAUUGAAUUUAUGAAAUACAAACAACUGGAAAAGCAUUCUCCAAGGAUGUUUUCAUUAAUGAAGAAUGAAAGUUGGGGGCUCGAAGGCAAUCAAAUACCGUCCUAGUCUCAAUCAUAAAUGAUGCCGACCAGGGAUCGGCGGAUGUUACUUUUAGGACUUCGUCGUCACCUAUGAGAAAUCAAAGUUUUUAGGUUCCGGGGGGAGUAUGGUGGCAAGGCUGAAAGUUAAAGGAAUUGACAGAAGGGCACCACCAGGAGUGGAGCUUGCGGCUUAAUUUGACUCAACCCGGGGAAACUUACUAGGUCUAGACAUAGUAAGGAUUGAAAGACUAAGAGCUCUUUCUUGAUUC
This 1210-nucleotide ribosomal RNA is filed under the name Capsicum annuum. RNAcentral describes it as "SSU rRNA". It matches the Rfam family "Eukaryotic small subunit ribosomal RNA", at positions 3 to 1268 of the family's 1831-position model. The record is from RNAcentral. Lineage: Eukaryota; Viridiplantae; Streptophyta; Magnoliopsida; Solanales; Solanaceae.